This 71-nucleotide transfer RNA is filed under the name Camelus bactrianus (Bactrian camel). It matches the Rfam family "tRNA". From Rfam's summary of the family: Transfer RNA (tRNA) molecules are approximately 80 nucleotides in length. Their secondary structure includes four short double-helical elements and three loops (D, anti-codon, and T loops). RNAcentral also lists the same sequence under 2 other names. Lineage: Eukaryota; Metazoa; Chordata; Mammalia; Artiodactyla; Camelidae. The record is from Rfam by way of RNAcentral.
GGGGGUAUGGCUCAAGGUAGAGUGUGUGCUUGUGGUGCAUGAGGUCCUGGGUUCAAUCCCCAGUGCCUCUG